GGGGUACUGGUACAGAGUCAAUAUGGAGGCUAUAUACAGAGGGUACUGGUACAGAGUCAAUGUGGAGGCUAUAUACAGUGGGUACCGGUACAGAGUCAAUGUGGAGGCUAUAUACAGGGGGUACCGGUACAGAGUCAAUGUGGAGGCUAUAUACAGGGGGUACCAGUACAGAGUCAAUGUGGAGGCUAUAUACAGGGGGUACCAGUACAGAGUCAAUGUAGAGGCUAUAUACAGGGGUACCGGUACAGAGUCAAUGUGGAGUCUAUAUACAAGGGGUACCAGUACAGAGUCAAUGUGGAGGCAAUAUACAGGGGGUACCGGUACAGAGUCAAUGUGGAGGCUAUAUACAGGGGUACCAGUACAGAGUCAAUGUGGAGGCUAUAUACAGGGG
Oncorhynchus tshawytscha (Chinook salmon) is the source of this 391-nucleotide long non-coding RNA. The record is from Ensembl. NCBI's taxonomy places the organism in Eukaryota, Metazoa, Chordata, Actinopteri, Salmoniformes, Salmonidae.